CCGGGGGGGCUGCACUUGGGGUGUGUCACACGUGUGCCGCAGCCCGCGUGGCUGUGCCCGCAGCCCAUGUGUCUGUCUGUCCCGCAGUCCGUGUGUCUGUCUGUCCUGCAGCCCGUGUGUCUGUCCCCGCAUCUGGUGUGUGUGUCCCCACAGCCCACGUGGCCGUGCCUGCAGCCUGUGUGUGUCCAUGUCUGUCCCUGCAGUCCAUGUCCGUGUGUCCGUGUCUGUGUCCGUGGCCGUGGCUGUGUGCCUGUGUGUCCAUGGCCGUGUCCAUGUAUCCGUGUGUCUGUGACUGUGUCCAUGUGUCCAUGGCUGUGUCUAUGUGGCCAUGGCAGUGUCUGUGUGUCUGUGGCCCCGUCUGUUUGUCCGUGUGUCUGUGACUGUGUCCGUGGCUAUGUCUGUGUGUCCGUGGCUGUGUCUGUGGCUGUGUCCAUGUGUCCGUGGCUGUGUCUGUGUGUCAGUGGCUGUGUCCAUGGCCGUGUCCGUGUGUCCGUGGCCAUGUCCAUGUGUCCGUGUGUCCGUGUGUCCGUGUGUCUGUGUGUCCGUGGCUGUGUCCGUGGCCGUGUCCGUGGCUGUGGCCGUGUGUCCGUGUGUCCGUGUGUCCGUGUGUCCGUGUGUCCGUGUGUCCGUGGCCGUCCCCGCAGCCGCCGCUCCGCCCCGCUGUGCCGCAGCCGUGGCUGUCACAUGCGUGUGAGCGUGCUGGGCCCUGUGCACCCGUCAUGUCGCAUCCAUCACCGCGGCCCGUGGCGCCCGCCGCGCCGCCCGCGUGUCCCGCUGCCCGUGCGCGGCCACGGACGCCGGGGCUGCCCCCAAAACCUCGGGAAGCGGCGUUUGGGAGCAUCGCCGCGGCUGGGCCCUGCCUCCAGCUCCCCGCCUUCCUCUCGCCUCCAUCCCUGCUCCAUCCUUGCUCCAUCCCGCUCCAUCCCUGCUCCAUCCCUGCUCCAUCCUGGCUCCAUCCC
RNAcentral lists this long non-coding RNA (959 nucleotides) under Lonchura striata (white-rumped munia). RNAcentral describes it as "domestica (Bengalese finch) lncRNA (ENSLSDG00000016544.1)". Lineage: Eukaryota; Metazoa; Chordata; Aves; Passeriformes; Estrildidae. The record is from RNAcentral.